This 220-nucleotide long non-coding RNA is filed under the name Elaeis guineensis (African oil palm). RNAcentral describes it as "long non-coding RNA (EGUI_LNC036970)". Lineage: Eukaryota; Viridiplantae; Streptophyta; Magnoliopsida; Arecales; Arecaceae. The record is from RNAcentral.
AGCACAGGAAGAUUUUGAAAUUAGUUUCAAUAAAGAUUUUUAUUCUAUUUAUUUAUAAAAUAAAUUAGUUACAUGAGAUAUUUUAAUUGACAGUUUAUAUCAGCUGCAUAUUGAUGCGAAUAUAAACUUAAAUGAAUAAAUAGUGAGUACUGUAGAUCAAAAUAGUCCCAGAGACGAAAUUAACCAAAAGUACCUGUGGCAUCAUAGACUAGGCCAUAUU